UCGAACGUUGCUGCCUCCAAUGCCAAGCUGGCUCUCUUCUACGAUUGGCUGUUCUUCAACCCUGAGAAAGACAGCAUCAUGAACAUAGAGCCGGCCAUCCUAGUGAUGCAUCACUCCAUGAAGCCUCAUCCAGCCAUCACCGCCACACUGCUGGACUUCAUGUGCAGGAUCAUCCCUCACUUCUUCCCUCCUCUGGAGUCUCAGGUCCGUCAGGGCGUCUUCAACUCGCUCACGUUCAUCAUGGAGAAGAGAGUGCUGGCGUGAGAAGUGCACACACACACACACACACACACACACACA
Plectropomus leopardus (leopard coralgrouper) is the source of this 300-nucleotide non-coding RNA. Lineage: Eukaryota; Metazoa; Chordata; Actinopteri; Perciformes; Serranidae. The record is from RefSeq and is a predicted model, not a curated record.